Molecule: long non-coding RNA, 1272 nt
Organism: Salvia hispanica
Lineage: Eukaryota; Viridiplantae; Streptophyta; Magnoliopsida; Lamiales; Lamiaceae
Source: RefSeq, a predicted model, not a curated record
CACACACUAUCACUCUCACUAGAUCUCUCUCUUUCUCUCUCACACACACACAAUAACAAUUCAACUAGUUGUAUUACAUGCAUGUAGAGCUAGCUAGUUUAGGGUACUGAAGUUGCUAGUAAUGAAGCAAAUCAAGUGGUAUCACAUACAUCUAUCCCUAUUUCUACAUAUAUCGUAUAAAUUACUAGCAAUUUGUAGUAUUUCAUGAACAAAUUUGUAUAUACACGUACUGGCGCACUGCAUAUAUGCCUGGCUCCCUGUAUGCCAUCUGCAGAGGUUGUCGAAGAAAAUCGACGGCCCUUUGUAGAUGGCGUAUGAGGAGCCAAGCAUGUAUCCGUACAUAGUAUAUGUGUUCACUUAAAAUUUGAAUCUUUUGAAACAAAAAAUUAAAUAGAUCUUAUUAGAUUGAAUACUAGGAAGGUUUGUUUGCGCAAUAGGAGUUAGAUUACUAAUUUAUGCAAGUGAAGUCCCAUUUCACAUUUAUUUUUUGGCUUGACACGUUUUCAAAUUUUAUUGUUAUAUUUGAUUUUAAUUUAAAUUUAAAUUUUAUAUCGGAUACAUGCGACUAUUUUUUGGCACUUAAUUUCAAGUUUUCAUGGUCAAAUAGAAAAUUAACCUUUGAUUGGGUAAAAUUUUUUAAUCUUCAACUUCAAAUUAGUAAGCUUAUUGUUGCUAGUUUAUUUGUCCCGUGUUAAAUAACUAGCUAUGAGUUGAUUUGUAGCACAUCAGAUUCAAUAAUUUUAUAUAUUCGACAAUAAAUCACCCCUAAAUAUUGUAUGUAUGAAAUAUACACGAUGAGCAUAAUUAAGAUGUUUCCAGUUCGAAUAUCUUCAUUCGUAGAAUUAAAUCGGGAAAAAAAAUUUCUACUAGAGGAAGAAUGUAAGCAAAGGUGACUUUCAAUGUAGUACAAUACUUGAUAGGGAAUAUAUUAAUUAUAUACCAACUUCACGUACUAUUUCUCUAAUUGGGCUAAAAGAUGAAUCACAUACCAAGGGCUCCCCACAUUCCGGCCCGACAAGAUAUCUGAAAGGAUGUAAAGCAGCUUCUCAGCGGCCCGCUAAGGGGGAGGUUAACUGCACACGAACGUGAGCCCACAGUCAAGGCUCAUAAUGGGCAUGUGAAAUGUUACUCCCAACCUACAGGCUCCAGGAUCAUGAAUAGCUGGUUACGUGAAGAAAAUGAACCAAGAUUACUUCAGCCUCAAAUUUUAGGAGUUGGAAAAUGGAUGCUUAUCGCUUUUGGCCAAUAUAUGAUUGUUUGGGACAAGGACAA